GCUGGCAUGGUGGCACAUACCUGUAGUCCCAGCUUCUAGGGAGGCUGAGACAGGAGAAUCCCUACAGUCCAGGAAUUCUGGGCUGUAGUGCACUAUGCUGAUGGGGUAUCCUCACUAAGGUCAGUAUCAAUAUGGUGACCUCCCAGGAGGUAGGGACCACCAGGUUGCCAAAGGAAAGGUGAACCAUCCCAGGAUGAAAACAGAGCAGUUCAAAACUCCGUGGUGAUCAGUAGUGGGACGGCACCUGUAAAUAGCCACUGCAUGCCAGCCUGAGCAACAUAGCGAGACCCUGUCUCU
This 297-nucleotide signal recognition particle RNA is filed under the name Meriones unguiculatus (Mongolian gerbil). Its description in RNAcentral is "Metazoan signal recognition particle RNA (ENSMUGG00000026737.1)". It matches the Rfam family "Metazoan signal recognition particle RNA". Rfam says of the family: The signal recognition particle (SRP) is a universally conserved ribonucleoprotein. Lineage: Eukaryota; Metazoa; Chordata; Mammalia; Rodentia; Muridae. The record is from RNAcentral.